GUGGGGAAUAUUGCACAAUGGGGGAAACCCUGAUGCAGCAACGCCGCGUGAGUGAUGACGGCCUUCGGGUUGUAAAGCUCUGUCUUUGGGGACGAUAAUGACGGUACCCAAGGAGGAAGCCACGGCUAACUACGUGCCAGCAGCCGCGGUAAUACGUAGGUGGCAAGCGUUGUCCGGAUUUACUGGGCGUAAAGGGAGCGUAGGCGGACUUUUAAGUGAGAUGUGAAAUACCCGGGCUUAACCUGGGUGCUGCAUUUCAAACUGGAUGUCUAGAGUGCAGGAGAGGAGAGUGGAAUUCCUAGUGUAGCGGUGAAAUGCGUAGAGAUUAGGAAGAACACCAGUGGCGAAGGCGACUCUCUGGACUGUAACUGACGCUGAGGCUCGAAAGCGUGGGGAGCAAACAGGAUUAGAAACCCUGGUAGUCC
Molecule: ribosomal RNA, 425 nt
Filed under: uncultured bacterium
Lineage: Bacteria
Description: partial 16S ribosomal RNA
Rfam family: Bacterial small subunit ribosomal RNA
Source: RNAcentral